Molecule: ribosomal RNA, 253 nt
Filed under: uncultured bacterium
Lineage: Bacteria
Description: partial 16S ribosomal RNA
Rfam family: Bacterial small subunit ribosomal RNA
Source: RNAcentral
UACGUAGGGGGCAAGCGUUGUCCGGAUUUAUUGGGCGUAAAGAGCGUGUAGGCGGUCAGGUAGGUCGGUUGUGAAAACUGGAGGCUCAACCUUCAGAGGUCGACCGAAACCCCCUGGCUAGAGUCCGGGAGAGGAGAGUGGAAUUCCUGGUGCAGCGGUGAAAUGCGCAGAUAUCAGGAAGAACACCCGUGGCGAAAGCGGCUCUCUGGAACGGUACUGACGCUGAGACGCGAAAGCGUGGGGAGCGAACAGG